This 253-nucleotide ribosomal RNA is filed under the name uncultured bacterium. RNAcentral describes it as "partial 16S ribosomal RNA". It matches the Rfam family "Bacterial small subunit ribosomal RNA", at positions 524 to 776 of the family's 1533-position model. The record is from RNAcentral.
GACGAAGGACCCAAGCGUUAUCCGGAUUCAUUGGGUUUAAAGGGUGCGUAGGCGGGUUGAUAAGUCAGUGGUGAAAGCCCGUCGCUUAACGGCGGAACUGCCAUUGAUACUGCUAGUCUUGAGUAUGGUUGAGGUGGGCGGAAUGUGUCAUGUAGCGGUGAAAUGCUUAGAUAUGACCCAGAACACCAAUUGCGAAGGCAGCUCGCUAAGCCAUAACUGACGCUGAGGCACGAAAGCGUGGGGAGCAAACAGG